CCAAAGGCAGAGAAGGGUGCAUCCAUCCAGAACUGAAAUGGAGGCUUCUCCUCCUUUAGGACUAUUAUUAUCCCAAAAGAACAUAUGUCAUCAAAAGUGCUCAUGCCGGACCCAUAACAUGUGGGAAGCCAAUACUCAGAUCAGCCAUUCCUUCUCUGUGUACGGUCCACUUCCAAAAGACUCGGAAAAAUGUUAACAGGGCAUUGAAGAAGGCAAACCUUAAUGUUUCCUCUUCGAGUAAGCUUGCUCCUAUGUUUCAUGUCAUAGUGGCAGAAUAUGUACAUCAAAUACAAGCCAAAAGAAGAGCUGCCUCGAGGGGAAUCACUAGUAAAGCUACUAUCAAGGAAGAAUGUCCUAGCUGAACCUUUCUUAACUGCUGCACAUGUCACCAAUGCUAAAGAAAUCAAAGGUAUCGUAAGUUGAUGCCCGGUAAUACAGUCCAAGUUAAAGUGCAAUUUUCGACAUUGAUAUCAGUGACACGAGAAUCGUAGGCAUCCGUGAAGUAGCUGAGCUGCUACUUGUAAAUGAUAGUAACAACCAAUGUACUUCAGCCAAUGACCAAUGUUGCAUGCAUGCCUUCUCAGUCAGCUUCAUAUGUAUGCCGGAAGUGGUGCCUCAAAGCCUUAUUAACUUAACUUUAGAUUCAUCCAGAUAGUUACAGCCUUUGUAGUAUACUUCUGUGGUUCCUUGGAAAGACUUAUUAAAAACCUUUUGCAAGUUGUAUGUAAGACUAAAACAAGGCUUGUAUAUCUUUUAACCAAUUCAAAUAGUUUAAACAUGAGUAGGACACUCCUAAUCGCUGCCCUAUGUUAAUCAAUCUAAAAGUCAGCUUCCAAAA
Hibiscus syriacus is the source of this 838-nucleotide long non-coding RNA. RefSeq lists it as uncharacterized. The record is from RefSeq and is a predicted model, not a curated record. The transcript is spliced from 3 exons. NCBI's taxonomy places the organism in Eukaryota, Viridiplantae, Streptophyta, Magnoliopsida, Malvales, Malvaceae.